This 350-nucleotide ribosomal RNA is filed under the name uncultured Oscillospiraceae bacterium. Its description in RNAcentral is "partial 16S ribosomal RNA". The record is from RNAcentral. Lineage: Bacteria; Bacillati; Bacillota; Clostridia; Eubacteriales; Oscillospiraceae.
GGAGUCUGGGCCGUGUCUCAGUCCCAAUGUGGCCGGCCAGCCUCUCAGCUCGGCUACUGAUCAUCGUCUUGGUGGGCUAUUAUCUCACCAACUAACUAAUCAGCCGUAGAUCCAUCUUAUAGCGGGUUACCCCUUUGACCGCUCUUAGAUGCCUAAGUGUGGUCUUAUCAGACAUUAGCUACCGUUUCCAGUAGUUAUUUCUGUCUAUAAGGCAGGUUAUCUACGUAUUACUCACCCGUCCGCCACUAAAACACUCGGGCGAAACUUCAUCUCAGAUAAAUCUUCAAAUCUAUUUCAAUUGAGUGUUUUCGUUCGACUUGCAUGUCUUAAAUGCGCCGCCAGCGUUCAUC